UGACAGGGCCCGUAUCCCGGUGUGACGAAUCAGUAAGCAACGCAGUGACGAAUUUUCACUUGCUUGUCUGAUAAGCUUUCCGUCUUUUUGAUUACUGAAGCAGUGGAUUGCUACUUCAUUCCAGAAGUUUCAAGCCAUAAUGAAAAAAAUUCUAGUUCGCAUUUGGUGAGAUGUGAUACUAUGGCUUCUUACUUCUUAAAUCGAUAUUUUAAUCAAUAAUUUAUGUUCUCGAGUGUUUCACUUGAUGAUUUGUCGGAUUUGUUUCACUAUAGUGCAUAUUCUUCAUAUUACUGAACCUUCUCACGGCGUUGCUUCGGCUUGGGCAUUCUUUCAUCUCCUUCCCCUUUUUCAAUUUAGAUUUGGGGAUUUCACAGCCUGUGACUGUUAUAUAAAAAACUUCCGUUUCCUUUCUCGUUCUCUGUUAUGAUUCCCUGAACUGCAAAUUUUAAGUUCAUUUUCUUAGUACUUUCCAGUGCAUCUGAAAUUUGCAAGAUCAUUUUCAUCUUGGCAGGUGGUUUGUUGGAUGCGAACAGGGGAACGACUAGCAUCGAAGAUGAGAAUGGCGUAAUGUCGAUAGAGAAUCAAGAUCCAAGUCUAUUUGAUUCAGAGGCGUUAAACAGGAGAGGUUAGAUCUGUCAUUACCAGGACAUUAUCGUUGUUCAGGAUGCACUAUCUGGAAAGGUAUAUGUACACUGCAUCAGUCCUCAUGUCUGAUAUCAACUCUAGAAAAGUAGUGAGAUUUGGAGGGUAUAUUUUCAGCUGGUAAAAGAUUACUGGUUGUAUUCUUCUGGUUUGACUUGAAAUGCUUCAAAUGCAGUGUUUUCAGACACUAUCUUUAUGUUCGUGAAAUUUGAUCCGCACGCCUUAUGUAAAAUUGGUUAAAAUUGUUUGCGCUGAUAUGUUAAAGUUCAAACUUCUGCUUUGCCAUGCAUGAAUAAGAAGCUGAGAAUUUUUGUUGGCAGCUUUCUGAGAAGCAAAGAUACUUCAUAAAACCAUUUAAUUAGCUUAGUCUCUCUCUCUAUUUUUUUUUUAAUUAGAUGCUAUAUUAUGUAAUUUGUAUCUCUUGGCCUCUAUUGAAUGCUUGGCUUGAAUCAACUGUUUUGUUUGCGAAUUAAAAUUUCUGAUAGGCAAUGAAUUAUCUCAUUAGCCACUCUGGUGUGCAAUCUCUUUUAUGUUUAUUAUUUAUUACUUAGGUGGGCCCCUAUAUAUCAUAUGAAAUUGAGAAAUGACUUGCAUUGUUUAUUUUUGGUUUGUGAGUAGUGCUACCUGUUAUGGAUUCUUAUUUUAUGCCAUUGUUUUACGAAUUAACAGAAGCAGGUUUCUUGACAAAACUCCGAUGCUUAAGUUAGUAAAUGUUGAAAGAGUGUGUGAUAUUAAUGGGAAUUUAUAAAGGACGAGCUGAGGGAAAAUAUGUACUUCGAUGUUUUUUUUUUUUUUGGGAAAAAAAUUGGUUUAUUCCUUUGUAGUAAUCGAUAAUUUCUUCUUUGAUGUCAAUAAUGUUCAUAAAGAUAUCUCACGGGAGGGGUCUCUGUUCACAUAAUGUUGGCUAAAUACACCGUAUUCUUGAUAUCCUAUGCGGAUUUCCUUUUGCAUAAUGCUCAGAAAGUUGAAGGUCAAAAGCAUGAGAACGAUAAUGUUUUAAAUUUUUGGGCUCCAAGACAGAACGCAUCAAGAGAAACAAAAAAGUAAACACAUUAUGAAUCAAGAUAACAGAUUGUUCGACUGUAAUUAUCUUUUAUUAGAAAUUCAGGAUAAACUUAAAACUUGAGUCCAGUAUGAUCUACAACCAGAUUAUCAUGCCUUGAAGCACAUUUAAAUAUAUGCCAAAUCAUAUAGGAUAAUGGGAUCAAAUUUUGUAUGUUCAAUGCUUAUUUUAUUUAUGAGUAUUCUGUAAAAAACUACGAUACUGACAAGAAGCGCACAUUCUGAGGCAGAAAUCACGUGACACAUCACCUCUCUACGGCUAAAUACACCAAGGGCCAUCAAGUUUAUUACGUUCAUGUAGAUAAGCUUAUGGGCAUUUUUGGGACUAAAGGUAACUAAGUCCCAUGUUGAAUACAACAUAAUCAAAAUUGGAGUAUAAAAGGUAGGAAACCAACGCAAUUAGUUACGACCUUACUUGAACAGGAUCUGUUCUAUAGGCUCGUACAUCUGUGUCCUUGAGUUUGAAGGAGACAAGAACCACAGCUUGGUUGAUCAAGUAUGACCAGGUAAUCAGAGCGUGAUUAUUGGUCUGGUUGCCCAGAUUUUUGUUAGCUUGGCUGCAGACGAUCAUUCCCAGGCAGUUCAACUGUGUGGGAUGGUCACUUGGUUGUCUGACAAGCUUCCAAUACUUUUUGCUAGUCCAUCUAACUUCUCAUUAUAUUUUAUGAUUAAGUUGUUACUCUUUUUUUUCUUUUUUAAAUAUUCUGAGUCAAACCCCCCCCCCCCCCAAUGUGUGUUUUAUCUUGCAGGAUGGCUGAAGCACCAUGUUCUUUGGAAGGACCGCCCUUCUUUGUAUCCGUUAUGUUUAAAUUGUUAUUCUUUUUUUCAAGUAUUCUGAGCUUGGAAGCAAACUUUUCCUCCUAUGCAUGCUAUGUUUUGCUGGAUGGCUUAAGCACCAUGUUCAUAUAUUUGGAAGGAUCGCUCUUCUUUUUACGCAUUUGUCUUGGACUUCAUCUAAAUCUUUUGAAGAGAAUAAACCAAAUCAGAAGCACAAAUUCUCAAAUAAAAAGGCACGUGACAGCAGUUUUGUUGAGCCAAAUACCAAAAGUGCCCUCAAGUUUGCGGAGUUCGUGAGGAUAAGCUUAUGGGCAUUCUUGCGACAUAAGCGAACUAAAUCCCACACCGAGCACACACGACCAAAAUUGGAGUAUAAAAGAGUGACUGAAGUACUAUUUCCCGAAACAUAGAGAAAGAUCGUCCUUCUUUGGGCGUUCGUCUUUUAGAAUAUAGUGAAGAGAUUAUGUCGAGUCAGAUUGCAAGAUGCCGGGCUUAGAUCUGAUUUAUGAAGGCUGCUUGUUUUGUAUUCAUAGCUUCGAUGUUGAUUUAGUGGCCAUGUGAAUCUGGACAUCUGGUUGUUGUGAUUGAAUUUUAAUGUUUUAAAGACUUAAGUAGACGGUAGGCUUGAGCUUGAAUCUUGUUUCAAGUAAAUUAUACCAUGCAUAACGCUUUAUUAGUACGUUGUUGAUUUAGCUUGAAUUGUUGUUUCUUAAUACGCUGCUUUGCUGUGUUGAAUUUUAAUUUUGAUUGAAUAUGGAUCUA
This is a long non-coding RNA of Prosopis cineraria, 3243 nucleotides long. RefSeq lists it as uncharacterized. The transcript has 5 exons. The record is from RefSeq and is a predicted model, not a curated record. Lineage: Eukaryota; Viridiplantae; Streptophyta; Magnoliopsida; Fabales; Fabaceae.